CUAACGGGAGCCAUAGGCCCUGUAUAGAAAGAUUAUAAGUUAUAAUUUUAUAUUAAUUCAAUACCGCUUGGAGCCAAGAGGACCGAGACGGGAGG
This is a non-coding RNA of Desulfonispora thiosulfatigenes DSM 11270, 95 nucleotides long. The record is from Rfam. NCBI's taxonomy places the organism in Bacteria, Bacillati, Bacillota, Clostridia, Eubacteriales, Peptococcaceae.